UACAAAGGGAGCUAGCGUUGUUCGGAAUCACUGGGCGUAAAGCGCACGUAGGCGGAUUUGUCAGUCAGGGGUGAAAUCCCGGGGCUCAACCUCGGAACUGCCUUUGAUACAGCAAGUCUUGAGUUCGAGAGAGGUGGGUGGAAUUCCUAGUGUAGAGGUGAAAUUCGUAGAUAUUAGGAAGAACACCGGUGGCGAAGGCGGCCCACUGGCUCGAUACUGACGCUGAGGUGCGAAAGCGUGGGGAGCAAACAGG
This 253-nucleotide ribosomal RNA is filed under the name uncultured bacterium. RNAcentral's name for it is "partial 16S ribosomal RNA". It matches the Rfam family "Bacterial small subunit ribosomal RNA", at positions 524 to 776 of the family's 1533-position model. The record is from RNAcentral.